GACGAACGCUGGCGGCGUGCUUAACACAUGCAAGUCGAACGCUGAAGCUCAGCUUUUGUUGGGUGGAUGAGUGGCGAGCGGGUGAGUAACACGUGAGUAACCUGCCCCCUUCUUUGGGAUAACGCCCGGAAACGGGUGCUAAUACUGGAUAUUCACUGGUCUUCGCAUGGGGGUUGGUGGAAAGGGUUUUUCUGGUGGGGGAUGGGCUCGCGGCCUAUCAGCUUGUUGGUGGGGUGAUGGCCUACCAAGGCUUUGACGGGUAGCCGGCCUGAGAGGGUGACCGGCCACAUUGGGACUGAGACACGGCCCAGACUCCUACGGGAGGCAGCAGUGGGGAAUAUUGCACAAUGGGCGCAAGCCUGAUGCAGCGACGCCGCGUGAGGGAUGGAGGCCUUCGGGUUGUGAACCUCUUUCGCUCAUGGUCAAGCCGCAACAAUGGUUGUGGUGAGGGUAGUGGGUAAAGAAGCGCCGGCUAACUACGUG
RNAcentral lists this ribosomal RNA (483 nucleotides) under uncultured bacterium. RNAcentral's name for it is "partial 16S ribosomal RNA". It matches the Rfam family "Bacterial small subunit ribosomal RNA", at positions 28 to 507 of the family's 1533-position model. The record is from RNAcentral.